CCUAUAGAUGGGGGAUAACUAUUGGAAACGAUAGCUAAUACCGCGUAAUAUCGAGAGAUUAUAGUGUGCAUAUGUACAUGUCUAUAGAUGAGCCCAAGUGAGAUUAGCUAGUUGGUGGGGUAAAGGCUCACCAAGGCGACGAUCUCUAGCUGGUUUGAGAGAAUGACCAGCCACACUGGAACUGAGACACGGUCCAGACUUCUACGGAAGGCAGCAGUGGGGAAUAUUGGACAAUGGGGGGAACCCUGAUCCAGCCAUGCCGCGUGUAUGAAGAAGGCCUUAGGGUUGUAAAGUACUUUCGGUAAUGAGAAAGGGUUAUACAGAAGUGUAUGAUUUUGAUGUUAGUUACAGAAGAAGCACCGGCUAACUCCGUGCCAGCAGCCGCGGUAAUACGGAGGGUGCGAGCGUUAAUCGGAAUUACUGGGCGUAAAGGGCACGCAGGCGGAUUGGUAAGUUAGAUGUGAAAUCCCUGAGCUUAACUUAGGAAUUGCAUUUAAAACUGCUGAUCUAGAGUUGUUUAGGGAGGGGUAGAAUUUCUCGUGUAACGGUGGAAUGUGUAGAGAUGAGAAGGAAUACCGAAGGCGAAGGCAGCCCCUUGGGAACAAACUGACGCUCAUGUGCGAAAGCGUGGGGAGCAAACAGGAUUAGAUACCCUGGUAGUCCACGCCGUAAACGAUGUCGAUUUGGAGGCUGGAGCAAUAAGUUUUGGCUUUCGAAGCUAACGCGUUAAAUCGACCGCCUGGGGAGUACGGCCGCAAGGUUAAAACUCAAAUGAAUUGACGGGGGCCCGCACAAGCGGUGGAGCAUGUGGUUUAAUUCGACGCAACGCGUAGAACCUUACCUACUCUUGACAUCUAGAGAAUCCCAGAGAGAUUUGGGAGUGCCUUCGGGAGCUCUAAGACAGGUGCUGCAUGGCUGUCGUCAGCUCGUGUUGUGAAAUGUUGGGUUAAGUCUCGCAACGAGCGCAACCCCCAUCUUUAGUUGCUACAUUAAGUUGAGAACUCUAAAGAGACUGCCGGUGAUAAGCCGGAGGAAGGUGGGGAUGACGUCAAGUCAUCAUGGCCCUUAUGAGUAGGGCUACACACGUGCUACAAUGGCUUAUACAGAGGGUUGCGAAGUGGCGACACGGAGCUAAUCUC
RNAcentral lists this ribosomal RNA (1139 nucleotides) under gamma proteobacterium TIS15778. RNAcentral's name for it is "bacterial SSU rRNA". It matches the Rfam family "Bacterial small subunit ribosomal RNA", at positions 129 to 1275 of the family's 1533-position model. The record is from RNAcentral. Lineage: Bacteria; Pseudomonadati; Pseudomonadota; Gammaproteobacteria.